AUGAAGCAAAUAUGGCCGCUCAUUACGUCGUCCGCACACUCGCAGCCUCCUCUUCCCUCGCUCUUUUCUCUAAUCAUGGGCGAAACAGACCUCAGCCCCCAGAACAAAGGGCGGUGUUUGUUUUUUUGCUGGCCUUUUAUUUCAGGCGUGUUCCUCCGUCGGUGCGUGUGCUGCUGGCCUUUGAUGUAUAAUGCACCAGCGUUCGCCUCCGUCGCCCCACUUACUGUACUAUCUGGGCCCUCGACAAAAGCGUGCACAGAGGAGGGAAGAAGGGAGGAAUACAAAGGAGACUCUCUCUGAGGAAACACCAAAGAAGAAGAAGAUGAUGAUGAUGAGGAGGAAAAGGAAAUGGUCAAGAGGAGGAAUUCUGGAGCCGUGCCUUCUUCUCUACCUCCAUCUCACCUCGCUGGUAGCCAGUCCUGGUAAUACCAUACAUGCCCUGCAAAGGCUCAUAAUUGCCAAGUGCUAUUAGACGGCCAAACGGGAUUAUAUCUUCAAAAGAAACAUUAGCUGCCUUUAGGAAGGAGUGUGAGGGAUUGGGGCUUGCUGCUCCCCCUAAUCUGGCAGGAGACCCCCACAGUCACACUCCUCCACCUGGCUCCCAUUACCCCUCCGCAAAUCCCUAAUCCCUCCGUUUGUUUUCCCGGAUAGAGACCAAGAAGAAUGGAGGAGAGGGAAGGCGGAGGAGGAAAAGGAAGGCAAGAGUUGGGGUCAUGGGUGAUGGUGAUAAUAGUGAUUUGACAGUUAUUUGCCAGUGCUGAGUUACAGCUGCUUAAUCUUUGUGUUAAUAAAACACAAAUUUUGCUCCCAUUUAUAUUUAGAGGGAUGAAAUGUGUGUGCUUCUCUCUUUCUGUGUGUGUGUGUGUGUGUGUGUGUGUGUGUGUGUGUGUGUGUGUGUGUGUGUGUGUGUGUGUGUGUGUGUCUGUGUGUGUGUGUGUUUGUGAGUGAGUGUGUGCUGCAGGCCUCAACCAGCGGCCUCUUCUCUUUAAUAAAAGUAUUGUUUGUGUUUCUCCUGAUUGGGAACACAUUGGGCCUGGGUCGGGCCCUGCCGGG
Molecule: long non-coding RNA, 1053 nt
Filed under: Dicentrarchus labrax (European seabass)
Lineage: Eukaryota; Metazoa; Chordata; Actinopteri; Moronidae
Description: lncRNA (ENSDLAG00005030682.1)
Source: RNAcentral